Molecule: ribosomal RNA, 433 nt
Filed under: uncultured bacterium
Lineage: Bacteria
Description: bacterial SSU rRNA
Rfam family: Bacterial small subunit ribosomal RNA
Source: RNAcentral
AACGCGAAGAACCUUACCAGGUCUUGACAUCCAAGAACCUUUACGAAAGUAGGGGGUGCCUUCGGGAGCUUUGAGACAGGUGGUGCAUGGUUGUCGUCAGCUCGUGUCGUGAGAUGUUGGGUUAAGUCCCGCAACGAGCGCAACCCUUGCUAUUAGUUGCUAACAUUUCGGAUGAGCACUCUAAUGGGACUGCCCGUGACAAGCGGGAGGAAGGUGGGGAUGACGUCAAAUCAUCAUGCCCUUUAUGAUCUGGGCUACACACGUGCUACAAUGGAUGGUACAGAGAGCAGCGAGGCCGCGAGGUGGAGCGAAUCUCAAAAAGCCAUUCUCAGUUCGGAUUGCAGUCUGCAACUCGACUGCAUGAAGUCGGAAUCGCUAGUAAUCGCGGAUCAGCACGUCGCGGUGAAUGCGUUCCCGGGUCUUGUACACACCG